This 414-nucleotide ribosomal RNA is filed under the name uncultured bacterium. RNAcentral describes it as "bacterial SSU rRNA". It matches the Rfam family "Bacterial small subunit ribosomal RNA", at positions 355 to 787 of the family's 1533-position model. The record is from RNAcentral.
UGGGGAAUAUUGGACAAUGGGCGCAAGCCUGAUCCAGCCAUGCCGCGUGAGUGAUGAAGGCCUUAGGGUUGUAAAGCUCUUUCACCGAUGAAGAUAAUGACGGUAGUCGGAGAAGAAGCCCCGGCUAACUUCGUGCCAGCAGCCGCGGUAAUACGAAGGGGGCUAGCGUUGUUCGGAAUUACUGGGCGUAAAGCGCACGUAGGCGGAUAUUUAAGUCAGGGUGAAAUCCCGCAGCUCAACUGCGGAACUGCCUUUGAUACUGGGUAUCUUGAGUAUGGAAGAGGUAAGUGGAAUUCCGAGUGUAGAGGUGAAAUUCGUAGAUAUUCGGAGGAACACCAGUGGCGAAGGCGGCUUACUGGUCCAUUACUGACGCUGAGGUGCGAAAGCGUGGGGAGCAAACAGGAUUAGAUACCC